Molecule: unclassified non-coding RNA, 2800 nt
Filed under: Pogonomyrmex barbatus (red harvester ant)
Lineage: Eukaryota; Metazoa; Arthropoda; Insecta; Hymenoptera; Formicidae
Description: baculoviral IAP repeat-containing protein 7-A, transcript variant X2
Source: RNAcentral
UAUUUUACUUGGAUCAAUUAUUUAUUUCUGACUCGUUUCACUUCUUAUUCUAAUAAAGUUCAUUUUGAUGUUCGUACACAGUACUGCAAGCAGAACAUUCAAAGCAGGACUUCCGAGAUUACACAGAGAUAUAUCCCUGCGUAAACGAACGACGAAUUGCGCUGCAGUCACUUUCGCAGACGAAGUAAACAAACUUCUGCAGUAGUGACUGCAUAAACGAAUGCACCCAAAAGCUUCGAAGCGUUUGAUUAACCAAUCAAAAUAAAAAUUUUAUGAAUUGGCCAAUCAAAAAAUGCUUCGAAGCAUUUGUAGCACCAAGUGGACUGCACCUCUAUUGAAGAUUUCGGUGGAAACUAGACUAUUGAGAAGAUAAAAGGGACUUCUAUUAAAUAGAGAAAAAAGCAAUUUUUACCUUAAUAUUAUUGAAUGUUCAAAAUUAUUCGAUUUGCAUUAUCAGUUUGUCAGGAGUAUAGCCUAAAAAAGUAUCGUUUAAGUUGAAAAUUUGGUAAUACUACUCGCCGAGUUGAUCGGCAAAAUUAGUUUAUUGGUGAGUUUGGUUGUCGAUGCAAAUAAUAAUUUGAAUCCAUGAAGAUGAAUGUCGAAGAGAAGAGACUCAGGACAUUUCGCGAGUGGCCAGCGAACGCUGCGGUUGAUCCGGUGCGUCUUGCGAAAGCAGGAUUUUAUUAUACCGGACACAUUCUGGAAGUACAAUGUUUUUUAUGCGGAACAAAAAUAUCUGAUUGGAAUUACGGUGAUCAAGCUAUGGUCCGUCAUCGAUUAAAGGCACCUAAUUGCCCUUUCGUCCGUGAUUCAGCCAGCACAUGCAAUGUGCCAUUGAUACCAGUAGCUGACAAUACCACUGCAGUAGAAUCGACAACACAAAGUCGACAAUUACUGGAUUUGCAACAAUCUAAUAGUGUUGGAAACAAUUCAAGUAUGGUACAAAGGCCAAUGGAUCCUUCAAAGGAAUAUAGCACCAUCACGCAGAGACUAUUGUCAUUUAACAAUUGGCCGAUAAGUAGCAUUGUUCAUCCGGAGCAACUAGCCUUAGCAGGAUUUUACUAUCUUCAAUGUGAAGACAUGGUGGAAUGCGCAUUUUGCAGAGGUAUCUUAAUGAAUUGGAAACCUGGUGAUGAUCCAGAUUGUGCGCACAGAUUGAGUUUUCCAAAUUGUGAUUUCUAUAUGAGACGAGAUACAGAAGAUGAUCUUUUAGGCUUAGUUAGAGUCAUACCUGAGACUAUAACAAAUAUGACAGAAUUAGGAAUACAAAGACAUAAGGCACCUCAAAGGCCAGAAUAUACAACAUAUGAGAAAAGAUUGCAGACUUUUAGAGGAUGGCCGAAAAAUCUUAAGCAAACUCCAGAGAUGUUAGCUGAAGCUGGAUUCUAUUAUGGCGGAUAUGAAGAUCAAGUUAGAUGUUUUCACUGCGAUGGAGGGUUACGAUAUUGGCAACCAACGGACGAUGUAUGGGUUGAACAUGCACGGUGGUUCUCAAAUUGUGGUUUUGUAAAUCUUAUCCGUGGACACGAAUUUGUGAAAUAUUGCAUAAAUAAUAGAACACCUUUGGAUCUUUCGAUUAUUACUGGUAUAUCAGAAGAAGAUAAUGCUGCAGAAACUUCGAUUGAAUCUCUUUCUUCAAUUCCACAAUCUAAUGAAUCAGAUGCAAUGGCAUCUGUGGCAGAUGUCGCGGCAACAUCAAUUACAUCUCUUCCUACAAUUUCACAACUUAGUGAAUCAACAACAGGUACAAUAGCAGAUGCCGCAGAAGCUACAGUUGUAUCUUUACCUACAAUUUUACGAUCCAAUGAACCAAUAACAAAUGCAGCUGUUGAGAAGCUCUUAGAGACAGUCCCAGCUAAGACUGCCCUUGAAAUUGGAUUACAUGUAGGUAGAGUAAAGAGAGCUCUGAAGAAAAGAAUGGAAAGAUUUGGUAAACCAUACACGGAUGUUGUUCAACUCAUACAAGAUGUUCUGCACGAUCAAGUUCUGGAAGAGGAUAAUGGAUGUGAUAAUGGUACUUCUGAUUCCCCAACUUCAGAAUUGAAUAACUUAUUUAAUCAAGUUACUAUGCAAAUAGCUAAUAAUUCUACAAACAAAAAUAAUGCACAAGAAUCUGACGCAUUCGAAAAAGAAGUCGAAGAAAGGAAGAGGGAUAAUGAAUCAGAUGAUCUUAUGUCUUUGCGAGAAGAGAACAGAAGAUUAAAGGAAGCCCGUUUAUGCAAAGUUUGUAUGGAUCACGAACUAGCCGUAGUAUUUUUACCUUGUGGCCAUUUAGCAACAUGCAACAACUGCGCACCGGCUCUUGCGAAUUGUCCUUUAUGCAGACUAGGAAUUCGUGCUUAUGAUAUAUAAAAGAGGCACAAUCUCGCCUAAUGCUGAUAUAACCCCACCAUAUGUCAGAUUGCGAUAAAAUCUAUAUGUCAAUAUGUUAUAUAUCAAUGGUGUCUCACUGAUAGUAUAUCUCGCAGACAGAAUCCAAAGCUAUAGUAAUUAGUGUUAUUGCGUUUGCCGAAGGUCUAAGAAUAAACUCGGCCAGAAUCGUCCCAAAGAAAUGAAAAAUAAAGAAUAUUCAUAUUUAGAUAAUUUCGCACUUUGUCAAAUGCAAGAAUAAUAUAAAUGUGAUAUUCGCAAUAUUUAUUGGAGCAAAAAUUGUAUAGUAAUUAGAUGUUAUCUAAAUGUUAUAUAUCGAAGACAAUAUUUUAUGUACAGUUUGAUGAUUGCAAAAUAGAAAUCUGUUGUGAAAUCGAUGUCACGUGUCGUGUGUACACUUUUUAAAAUAUAAAAGCAUUUUUACACACGU